Molecule: long non-coding RNA, 625 nt
Organism: Mesocricetus auratus (golden hamster)
Lineage: Eukaryota; Metazoa; Chordata; Mammalia; Rodentia; Cricetidae
Exons: 3
Source: RefSeq, a predicted model, not a curated record
UGACAGCAGAUGUCUUUAUGUGCUAAGCCAUCUCCCCAAGUCCCAACUCCUCCCCUCCAGGAAUCAUUCUGUGUGUACCAGAAGAUGGCUUUACUAAGCAUUCUGUUUCAAACGGUGCUCGUGGAGCACUUGGCUGCAGUGUUUGUUUGUUUAUUUCACAUUGAGAAAAGUGGCUUAACCAGUGGUUGGAGAGUUAACCAUACGUGAAUGGGACUUUUCCGAGAGCCACACCGAAUGCCAGGCCUCACGUAGGGCCCAUGCUGUUGCUGCUGCAGCUUCUACCAGGAGGGGACGGACCGAUGUAGCCUACUGAUCUCCCAAAAGUUUGGACACACCCACUAGAUGUUCAGAGAUGUGAGCUGCCUUCUGUAUCAUGGACUAAGUCUGUGUUCCCGAAGGGGGAUCCUGCCUCGAUGAGAGGAGCCAGCAGCCCAUUGGAGCCUGGUGGUUAAGGUUCUAGAAAUUCAAUCAAUAAAGAAGCAAGAUGAGGUGGUGGAUCUGUCUGCCUCUUGAUCCUCCAAGAUGUGAACAAGCUAUACCACAAGCUGAUGCUGCCACAGAUGGAGGUGCCCUAGCCACAUGCCUUUCUGACCAUUAUGGACUGUGUGCCCUGAGACUGUGAGCC